Molecule: ribosomal RNA, 497 nt
Filed under: uncultured bacterium
Lineage: Bacteria
Description: partial 16S ribosomal RNA
Rfam family: Bacterial small subunit ribosomal RNA
Source: RNAcentral
GAUGAACGCUGGCGGCGUGCCUAAUACAUGCAAGUCGAGCGAACAGACGAGGAGCUUGCUCCUCUGACGUUAGCGGCGGACGGGUGAGUAACACGUGGAUCACCUACCUAUAAGACUGGGAUAACUUCGGGAAACCGGAGCUAAUACCGGAUAAUAUAUUGAACCGCAUGGUUCAAUAGUGAAAGACGGUUUUGCUGUCACUUAUAGAUGGAUACGCGCCGCAUUAGCUAGUUGGUAAGGUAACGGCUUACCAAGGCAACGAUGCGUAGCCGACCUGAGAGGGUGAUCGGCCACACUGGAACGGAGACACGGUCAAGACUCCUACGGGAGGCAGCAGUAGGGAAUGUUCCGCAAUGGGCGAAAGCAUGACGGAGCAACGCCGCGUGAGUGAUGAAGGUCUUCGGAUCGUAAAACUCUGUUAUUAGGGAAGAACAAAUGUGUAAGUAACUAUGCACGUAUUGACGGUACCGAAUCAGAAAGCCACGGCUAACUACGUG